Molecule: ribosomal RNA, 2924 nt
Filed under: Klebsiella quasipneumoniae
Lineage: Bacteria; Pseudomonadati; Pseudomonadota; Gammaproteobacteria; Enterobacterales; Enterobacteriaceae
Description: bacterial LSU rRNA
Rfam family: Bacterial large subunit ribosomal RNA
Source: RNAcentral
GGGUUGUGAGGUUAAGCGACUAAGCGUACACGGUGGAUGCCCUGGCAGUCAGAGGCGAUGAAGGACGUGCUAAUCUGCGAAAAGCGUCGGUAAGGUGAUAUGAACCGUUAUAACCGGCGAUGUCCGAAUGGGGAAACCCAGUGCAAUUCGUUGCACUAUCGUUAACUGAAUACAUAGGUUAACGAGGCGAACCGGGGGAACUGAAACAUCUAAGUACCCCGAGGAAAAGAAAUCAACCGAGAUUCCCCCAGUAGCGGCGAGCGAACGGGGAGCAGCCCAGAGUCUGAAUCAGCUUGUGUGUUAGUGGAACGGUCUGGAAAGUCCGACGGUACAGGGUGAUAGUCCCGUACACCAAAAUGCACAGGUUGUGAACUCGAAGAGUAGGGCGGGACACGUGGUAUCCUGUCUGAAUAUGGGGGGACCAUCCUCCAAGGCUAAAUACUCCUGACUGACCGAUAGUGAACCAGUACCGUGAGGGAAAGGCGAAAAGAACCCCGGCGAGGGGAGUGAAAAAGAACCUGAAACCGUGUACGUACAAGCAGUGGGAGCACCUUUAUGGUGUGACUGCGUACCUUUUGUAUAAUGGGUCAGCGACUUAUAUUCUGUAGCAAGGUUAACCGUAUAGGGGAGCCGCAGGGAAACCGAGUCUUAACUGGGCGUUAAGUUGCAGGGUAUAGACCCGAAACCCGGUGAUCUAGCCAUGGGCAGGUUGAAGGUUGGGUAACACUAACUGGAGGACCGAACCGACUAAUGUUGAAAAAUUAGCGGAUGACUUGUGGCUGGGGGUGAAAGGCCAAUCAAACCGGGAGAUAGCUGGUUCUCCCCGAAAGCUAUUUAGGUAGCGCCUCGUGAACUCAUCUUCGGGGGUAGAGCACUGUUUCGGCUAGGGGGUCAUCCCGACUUACCAACCCGAUGCAAACUACGAAUACCGAAGAAUGUUAUCACGGGAGACACACGGCGGGUGCUAACGUCCGUCGUGAAGAGGGAAACAACCCAGACCGCCAGCUAAGGUCCCAAAGUCAUGGUUAAGUGGGAAACGAUGUGGGAAGGCACAGACAGCCAGGAUGUUGGCUUAGAAGCAGCCAUCAUUUAAAGAAAGCGUAAUAGCUCACUGGUCGAGUCGGCCUGCGCGGAAGAUGUAACGGGGCUAAACCAUGCACCGAAGCUGCGGCAGCGACACGAUGUGUUGUUGGGUAGGGGAGCGUUCUGUAAGCCUGCGAAGGUGACCUGUGAGGGUUGCUGGAGGUAUCAGAAGUGCGAAUGCUGACAUAAGUAACGAUAAAGCGGGUGAAAAGCCCGCUCGCCGGAAGACCAAGGGUUCCUGUCCAACGUUAAUCGGGGCAGGGUGAGUCGACCCCUAAGGCGAGGCCGAAAGGCGUAGUCGAUGGGAAACAGGUUAAUAUUCCUGUACUUGGUGUUACUGCGAAGGGGGGACGGAGAAGGCUAUGUUAGCCGGGCGACGGUUGUCCCGGUUUAAGCAUGUAGGCUGGUUAUCCAGGCAAAUCCGGAUAAUCAAGGCUGAGGUGUGAUGACGAGGUACUACGGUGCUGAAGUAACAAAUGCCCUGCUUCCAGGAAAAGCCUCUAAGCAUCAGGUAACAUCAAAUCGUACCCCAAACCGACACAGGUGGUCAGGUAGAGAAUACCAAGGCGCUUGAGAGAACUCGGGUGAAGGAACUAGGCAAAAUGGUGCCGUAACUUCGGGAGAAGGCACGCUGGUGUGUAGGUGAAGUCCCUGCGGAUGGAGCUGAGACCAGUCGAAGAUACCAGCUGGCUGCAACUGUUUAUUAAAAACACAGCACUGUGCAAACACGAAAGUGGACGUAUACGGUGUGACGCCUGCCCGGUGCCGGAAGGUUAAUUGAUGGGGUUAUCCGUAAGGAGAAGCUCUUGAUCGAAGCCCCGGUAAACGGCGGCCGUAACUAUAACGGUCCUAAGGUAGCGAAAUUCCUUGUCGGGUAAGUUCCGACCUGCACGAAUGGCGUAAUGAUGGCCAGGCUGUCUCCACCCGAGACUCAGUGAAAUUGAACUCGCUGUGAAGAUGCAGUGUACCCGCGGCAAGACGGAAAGACCCCGUGAACCUUUACUAUAGCUUGACACUGAACAUUGAGCCUUGAUGUGUAGGAUAGGUGGGAGGCUUUGAAGCGUGGACGCCAGUCUGCGUGGAGCCAACCUUGAAAUACCACCCUUUAAUGUUUGAUGUUCUAACGUGGGCCCCUAAUCGGGGUUGCGGACAGUGUCUGGUGGGUAGUUUGACUGGGGCGGUCUCCUCCCAAAGCGUAACGGAGGAGCACGAAGGUUAGCUAAUCCUGGUCGGACAUCAGGAGGUUAGUGCAAUGGCAUAAGCUAGCUUGACUGCGAGCGUGACGGCGCGAGCAGGUGCGAAAGCAGGUCAUAGUGAUCCGGUGGUUCUGAAUGGAAGGGCCAUCGCUCAACGGAUAAAAGGUACUCCGGGGAUAACAGGCUGAUACCGCCCAAGAGUUCAUAUCGACGGCGGUGUUUGGCACCUCGAUGUCGGCUCAUCACAUCCUGGGGCUGAAGUAGGUCCCAAGGGUAUGGCUGUUCGCCAUUUAAAGUGGUACGCGAGCUGGGUUUAGAACGUCGUGAGACAGUUCGGUCCCUAUCUGCCGUGGGCGCUGGAGAAUUGAGGGGGGCUGCUCCUAGUACGAGAGGACCGGAGUGGACGCAUCACUGGUGUUCGGGUUGUCAUGCCAAUGGCACUGCCCGGUAGCUAAAUGCGGAAGAGAUAAGUGCUGAAAGCAUCUAAGCACGAAACUUGCCCCGAGAUGAGUUCUCCCUGAGACUAUAAGUCUCCUGAAGGAACGUUGAAGACGACGACGUUGAUAGGCCGGGUGUGUAAGCGCAGCGAUGCGUUGAGCUAACCGGUACUAAUGAACCGUGAGGCUUAACCUUACAACGCCGAAG